AUGAGCACUUGGGACGACACCAACUCCAACAUCAUGUUCUCAGCGCCCGACAGCAAGAAGGCCGAGGUGCUCAGCGACAGCGAUGUCGGCAUGGUCACCAGCUUCUGCAACAUCGACUCCCAGAUUCAGUUAGCCCUCUCGAGCUGGACAUGCCCAGCAUGGAUGACUACAUUCAGCUGCAGCAGGACUCCGCCGACUACAGAGUCCAUGCCAAGCGUGGCUGCACCACUGACCCGCAGAGCAUCGCUUGGGAGGGAAAGAACAACAAGGAUCAAUAAGAGGUUAAGGAGGUUGCAAAGACCUCAUUCCCUACAUGGACAAGGUCACAAGUUUAUUCUACCAUGGAUUCCCUCUGGCCAAUACACAUUCAGGAAAUAUGUGACCAACUUCCCCAAGGUCCCGCAUCGUCUACUCAGUUGA
This 420-nucleotide ribosomal RNA is filed under the name Triticum aestivum (bread wheat). Its description in RNAcentral is "partial small subunit ribosomal RNA". The record is from RNAcentral. Lineage: Eukaryota; Viridiplantae; Streptophyta; Magnoliopsida; Poales; Poaceae.